CGUCCUAUUAGCUAGUUGGUGAGGUAAUGGCUCACCAAGGCUACGAUGGGUAGGGGUUCUUAGUGGAAGGUCCCCCACACUGGCACUGAGAUACGGGCCAGACUCCUACGGGAGGCAGCAGUAGGGAAUAUUGGUCAAUGGGCGCAAGCCUGAACCAGCCAUGCCGCGUGCAGGAUGAAGGCUCUCUGAGUUGUAAACUGCUUUUGUACAGGAGCAAAAAAAUCCCUGCGGGGGUUCUUGAGAGUACUGUAAGAAUAAGCACCGGCUAAUUCCGUGCCAGCAGCCGCGGUAAUACGGGAGGUGCAAGCGUUAUCCGGUUUUAUUGGGUUUAAAGGGUGCGUAGGCGGCUUAUUAAGUCAGUUGUGAAAUCCUAGUGCUUAACGCUAGAACUGCGAUUGGUACUAUU
RNAcentral lists this ribosomal RNA (406 nucleotides) under Cardinium endosymbiont of Bemisia tabaci. Its description in RNAcentral is "bacterial SSU rRNA". It matches the Rfam family "Bacterial small subunit ribosomal RNA", at positions 234 to 637 of the family's 1533-position model. The record is from RNAcentral. RNAcentral also lists the same sequence under 1 other name. Lineage: Bacteria; Pseudomonadati; Bacteroidota; Cytophagia; Cytophagales; Amoebophilaceae.